RNAcentral lists this ribosomal RNA (1506 nucleotides) under metagenome. Its description in RNAcentral is "bacterial SSU rRNA". It matches the Rfam family "Bacterial small subunit ribosomal RNA". The record is from RNAcentral.
AGAGUUUGAUCAUGGCUCAGGACGAACGCUGGCGGCGUGCCUAAUACAUGCAAGUAGAACGCUGAAGAGAGGAGCUUGCUCUUCUUGGAUGAGUUGCGAACGGGUGAGUAACGCGUAGGUAACCUGCCUUGUAGCGGGGGAUAACUAUUGGAAACGAUAGCUAAUACCGCAUAACAAUGGAUGACACAUGUCAUUUAUUUGAAAGGGGCAAUUGCUCCACUACAAGAUGGACCUGCGUUGUAUUAGCUAGUAGGUGAGGUAAUGGCUCACCUAGGCGACGAUACAUAGCCGACCUGAGAGGGUGAUCGGCCACACUGGGACUGAGACACGGCCCAGACUCCUACGGGAGGCAGCAGUAGGGAAUCUUCGGCAAUGGGGGCAACCCUGACCGAGCAACGCCGCGUGAGUGAAGAAGGUUUUCGGAUCGUAAAGCUCUGUUGUAAGUCAAGAACGGGUGUGAGAGUGGAAAGUUCACACUGUGACGGUAGCUUACCAGAAAGGGACGGCUAACUACGUGCCAGCAGCCGCGGUAAUACGUAGGUCCCGAGCGUUGUCCGGAUUUAUUGGGCGUAAAGCGAGCGCAGGCGGUUUGAUAAGUCUGAAGUUAAAGGCUGUGGCUCAACCAUAGUUCGCUUUGGAAACUGUCGAACUUGAGUGCAGAAGGGGAGAGUGGAAUUCCAUGUGUAGCGGUGAAAUGCGUAGAUAUAUGGAGGAACACCGGUGGCGAAAGCGGCUCUCUGGUCUGUAACUGACGCUGAGGCUCGAAAGCGUGGGGAGCGAACAGGAUUAGAUACCCUGGUAGUCCACGCCGUAAACGAUGAGUGCUAGGUGUUGGAUCCUUUCCGGGAUUCAGUGCCGCAGCUAACGCAUUAGGCACUCCGCCUGGGGAGUACGACCGCAAGGUUGAAACUCAAAGGAAUUGACGGGGGCCCGCACAAGCGGUGGAGCAUGUGGUUUAAUUCGAAGCAACGCGAAGAACCUUACCAGGUCUUGACAUCCCGAUGCUAUUUCUAGAGAUAGAAAGUUACUUCGGUACAUCGGUGACAGGUGGUGCAUGGUUGUCGUCAGCUCGUGUCGUGAGAUGUUGGGUUAAGUCCCGCAACGAGCGCAACCCCUAUUGUUAGUUGCCAUCAUUCAGUUGGGCACUCUAGCGAGACUGCCGGUAAUAAACCGGAGGAAGGUGGGGAUGACGUCAAAUCAUCAUGCCCCUUAUGACCUGGGCUACACACGUGCUACAAUGGUUGGUACAACGAGUUGCGAGUCGGUGACGGCGAGCUAAUCUCUUAAAGCCAAUCUCAGUUCGGAUUGUAGGCUGCAACUCGCCUACAUGAAGUCGGAAUCGCUAGUAAUCGCGGAUCAGCACGCCGCGGUGAAUACGUUCCCGGGCCUUGUACACACCGCCCGUCACACCACGAGAGUUUGUAACACCCGAAGUCGGUGAGGUAACCUUUUGGAGCCAGCCGCCUAAGGUGGGACAGAUGAUUGGGGUGAAGUCGUAACAAGGUA